Molecule: small RNA, 100 nt
Filed under: Chelonoidis abingdonii (Abingdon island giant tortoise)
Lineage: Eukaryota; Metazoa; Chordata; Testudines; Testudinidae
Description: TUC338 (ENSCABG00000006632.1)
Source: RNAcentral
CUACAGUAUGGACGGCUACAGUAUGGACUGCAACAAUGCAAGCUUCACACAUUGUCCUGCCAUAUGCCGCCACCCUGACCUGGAGGAACCAACUCUAAGG